Long non-coding RNA from Oncorhynchus tshawytscha (Chinook salmon), 1582 nucleotides. The record is from Ensembl. Lineage: Eukaryota; Metazoa; Chordata; Actinopteri; Salmoniformes; Salmonidae.
GAACAAUGGGAGACAUAGGGUGCGUUCAUAAAUUCACUCUGGCUAUCUACUCCGAUUUCAGAGCACUCUCGCCAGACCACAGUAUAACUGCUGAAUUUACGAAUGCUCACCAGUUGAAUAUGGCCGGUGUCAGUAAACGUUGGCAAAAUGCGUAAUUAUAUUGUUGCCAAUAGCACAGUUACAGUCACCAACGCUCUGGAUAACACGAAAACAGCCUAAUCAGCUCUACUUGGCAGGGAGACAUGCAGUACCAGCAAAUCUUCUGCAAGAGAACCAAACAGUUGGUGGUUAUGAAGCCCUACACCACUUUCGGCAGUCUUAUCCAGCUGGCUGUUCAUCUCAGUACGGACAGAGAUUAUCACACUACUGUCAAUGGGCUGGAAUAAGAGGAAGUUCACCAACAUGGAUCGCAUGUAACACUCGUCUGAAGAAGUGGACCAUAAUCAUAUUCUUUAAUGAUAACCACAAAAAGAAGAGAGAGAGAACCAACGAAACGUACAGCCUUGAAGGGCUCAACAGCAACAAUACAAGGACAAGAUCCUACAACAUAGAAUGUCAAAAGACUGGAGGAGACCAGCCUCGCAAAAAGCGGGAAGAGCUAGACAUCAACACCGCUGUGCUACAGGAGUGGAUUACUGAGGUCCAGCAGUGGCCUGAUGACACACUUCAGGAUCGUCAGACGGGGCAUCUCCAGAAGAAGCUUGAAGGGCUUUACCACAGUGUGAAAGAGGAAACUACUUCUACCAUUUGACAGCUCACAGGCAACUGCCAUCAAAAGGCAAUCUUCAACAGACUGAUGUUAGUGAACAGACUGCAGGAGGAAGAGAGGAUCCUGGUCCGGGAGAUGAAGAGGCACUGGGGGAGCCUACAAAGAGCAGUGGGAACUGUGGCGGCACUGUACCUACAAGAUAAGUUGAGGUAAUGCAGUGGAGUUUUCAGAGGGAGGGAAGAAUGGCCUUCUCUGCCACCCGAAGAGAAGAUUGAGUGAACUGACACAAGACCAAGUUGACACCAGGAAUACCUACCACAAGCUGAUUCUGGGAGAAGGGGAUAUUUUUUUAUGACUGAUGUAGGUGAGAACUCCGAUGAAGAUAGAAGUUCUAUUGCUGAGAGCUCAGAUGACAACUGCUAUGCUUUCUGAAAUCCUACACCACCCCUGCCUCUUUCUCUCGGUCUCACUUUCUUCCGCAGGAGAGGGAGAAGGCCGCCAACCACCUCCCUUGGGAGCAGCCUGGUCUCCUGACGUUGACCCCUCACCUUCUGAACCCAUCCAGGGAAAUGUAAUUUGCCUGAUGAUGUGCUAGUGGAGAAGGAAUGUGUCAUGUUUCCUCUCCUCACCACCUCUCUUCCGGUCCUAGACUAUGGCAACAUCAUCUGCAACUCAUACUGUUGGUUGAGGACCUCUUACUGAGGAAUGUGGUUCUUCAUUAUUAUUUAUCUGUAUUUACUACAAGUAUUUUCUAUGCUGCCAUGAUUGGGGUUUUUGUGAGUUGCAAAAGAGUCCUUGAUCUCAAUGGGACUGCUAAAAUAAAUAAAGGUCUUAACAAAUAAAUAAAUGCAUUAAGCACUGUGUGUGUUUCAA